GCACAUGUGGUGAAAUUGGUAGACACGCAGCCUUGAGGGGGCUGUGUUCGCAAGAACGUGCUGGUUCGAGUCCAGUCAUGUGCA
RNAcentral lists this transfer RNA (84 nucleotides) under Lutimonas saemankumensis. Its description in RNAcentral is "tRNA-Leu". It matches the Rfam family "tRNA". Rfam says of the family: Transfer RNA (tRNA) molecules are approximately 80 nucleotides in length. Their secondary structure includes four short double-helical elements and three loops (D, anti-codon, and T loops). Further hydrogen bonds mediate the characteristic L-shaped molecular structure. tRNAs have two regions of fundamental functional importance: the anti-codon, which is responsible for specific mRNA codon recognition, and the 3' end, to which the tRNAs corresponding amino acid is attached (by aminoacyl-tRNA synthetases). tRNAs cope with the degeneracy of the genetic code in two manners: having more than one tRNA (with a specific anti-codon) for a particular amino acid; and 'wobble' base-pairing, i.e. permitting non-standard base-pairing at the 3rd anti-codon position. The record is from RNAcentral. Lineage: Bacteria; Pseudomonadati; Bacteroidota; Flavobacteriia; Flavobacteriales; Flavobacteriaceae. RNAcentral also lists the same sequence under 2 other names.